This 492-nucleotide ribosomal RNA is filed under the name uncultured bacterium. Its description in RNAcentral is "partial 16S ribosomal RNA". It matches the Rfam family "Bacterial small subunit ribosomal RNA", at positions 29 to 507 of the family's 1533-position model. The record is from RNAcentral.
AGCGAACGCUGGCGGUAGGCCUAACACAUGCAAGUCGAACGGCAGCACAGUAAGAGCUUGCUCUUACGGGUGGCGAGUGGCGGACGGGUGAGGAAUACAUCGGAAUCUACAUUUUCGUGGGGGAUAACGUAGGGAAACUUACGCUAAUACCGCAUACGACCUACGGGUGAAAGCAGGGGAUCUUCGCACCUUGCGCGAUUGAAUGAGCCGAUGUCGGAUUAGCUAGUUGGCGGGGUAAAGGCCCACCAAGGCGACGAUCCGUAGCUGGUCUGAGAGGCUGAUCAGCCACACUGGAACUGGGACACGGUCCAGACUCCUACGGGAGGCAGCAGUGGGGAAUAUUGGACAAUGGGCGCAAGCCUGAUCCAGCCAUACCGCGUGGGUGAAGAAGGCCUUCGGGUUGUAAAGCCCUUUUGUUGGGAAAGAAAAGCAGCAGGUUAAUACCCCGCUGUUCUGACGGUACCCAAAGAAUAAGCACCGGCUAACUUCGUG